CUUGUUGCGUCUGCUACAUGCUGUUGCAUCGCAAACAACCCAGAACUCCCCUGAAGAAGUCAAAUAACAGCCCUGACGUCACUCUGCGGGAGAACAGUUUCAAGGUGGAAGGGGAGGAUUCAGCUGGAUGGAGGUGAACAGGGAGGAGUGGAGGAAGAGGAGGAGGAGGAGAACGAGGAUUAUGCAAACAGACUUCUGACUAAGCCUGGUGGAGGGAUGAGGCCUCGGCCUGAGAAGAACCGUACAAUAUGGGUGCAGAUGGAAUAAGUUUUGCAGAUUCUCUGGAUGAAAUGGAGACACUGGAAUCGGAGAGGACAAUGAGGAGUUUUUCUCAGAUGCUGUCGCUGAGGAAGAGCAUCACAAAGUUCUUUGUCAGAGUUAUGAGAAGUCUGUCCGUCAUCCUGGGAUCUACAGAGGCAAGCGGAGUGCCGGUGUCGGCCAUGAAGCUG
Platichthys flesus (European flounder) is the source of this 449-nucleotide long non-coding RNA. RefSeq lists it as uncharacterized. The transcript is spliced from 4 exons. NCBI's taxonomy places the organism in Eukaryota, Metazoa, Chordata, Actinopteri, Pleuronectiformes, Pleuronectidae. The record is from RefSeq and is a predicted model, not a curated record.